CAGAGUGAGGACUAAGAACUGGUCAGUCCUGCUGUGCAGCCCUGGUACAGUUGUGUUGGGUUAGUGCUGCACUCGGUGCUCCUGGGCCCACUAUGCCCUGAAGACAAAUGCCAGAUGAGAAUGUACAGACUGAUGACCUGCACUGAAAGGCAAGGGUAACGCCCACCCCCGGGGUGGGACUGUAUCCUGGAUUCCCGUUCCAGUAGCAGUAAGUAGGAGAGAUCACAAACCCAGUCUUUGGAGGAUUCCAACACAAACUAGAAGAGAGCCCUCUGUGGGCUGAUAUUACAAAGCGGUUUCUUGUCUUUCUUUCCUUUUUUUGUUUUGUUUUGUUUUGUUUCGUUUCGUUUCGUUUCGUUUUGUUUCGUUUUAAGAUUCCUUACUGGCUUGCUACCAGCAAUUGAACUGUAUUAUUCUUUAUAGAGCUAGAGCUGUUUGUUGUCUUCUUAAAAAUAAACCUUUUUCUGUU
This 469-nucleotide long non-coding RNA is filed under the name Mus musculus (house mouse). Its description in RNAcentral is "long non-coding RNA chrX:102091578-102092047". Lineage: Eukaryota; Metazoa; Chordata; Mammalia; Rodentia; Muridae. The record is from RNAcentral.